UCUCAGUUUGCACUGGCAGUCUCGUUAGAGUUCCCGACAUGACUCGCUGGCAACUAGUAGCGAGGGUUGCGCUCGUUGCGGGACUUAACCCAACAUCUCACGACACGAGCUGACGACAGCCAUGCACCACCUGUGAUCCUGCCCCAAAGGGGAAACCCUGUUUCCAGGGCGGUCAGGAACAUGUCAAACCCAGGUAAGGUUCUUCGCGUUGCGUCGAAUUAAACCACAUGCUCCGCUGCUUGUGCGGGCCCCCGUCAAUUCCUUUGAGUUUCAGCCUUGCGGCCGUACUCCCCAGGCGGGGCACUUAAUGCGUUAGCGCCGGCCCUCGGGGGGUCGCUCCCCCAAGCGCCUAGUGCCCAUCGUUUACGGCGUGGACUAC
This 379-nucleotide unclassified non-coding RNA is filed under the name uncultured Thermoleophilia bacterium. Its description in RNAcentral is "contains 16S-23S intergenic spacer region". The record is from RNAcentral. Lineage: Bacteria; Bacillati; Actinomycetota; Thermoleophilia.